UCAACUGUCAAACUGCAGUGUGUAUCAAUCUCUGUCUGUGAGUUCAUACAGCGAAAUGUCAAAAGCCAGUAUUUCUGUGGAUCAGGAUCAGUUCAGAUGUCCAGUGUGUCUGGAUCUACUGAAGGAUCCAGUGACGAUUCCCUGUGGACACAGUUACUGUAUGAGCUGCAUCACUGACUGCUGGAAUCAGGAGGAUCAGAAGAGAAUCUACAGAUGUCCAUUAUGCAAACAGACCUUCACACCAAGACCAGUUUUAGGUAAGAAUGUGGUGUUUGCUGAGAUGGUGGAGAAACUGAAGAAGACGAGACUCCAAGCUGCUCCUGUUCCUCCUCCUGUUCCUGCUCGUCGUCGUCAUCCUCAUACUGGAUCUGGAAAUGUUCAUUGUGAUUCCUGCACUGGAAGAAAACAGAAAGCAGUGAAGUCGUGUCUGGAGUGUCGAAGCUCUUACUGUCAAAAUCACCUUGAACAGCAUGAGAAUCUCUUCAGAGGUAAUAGACACAAUCUGAUGGACGCCACUGGACGACUGCAGGACAUGAUCUGUCCUCGACAUGAUAAAAUGCGGGAAAUUUACUGCCGUACUGACCAGCGGUGUAUCUGUACACUGUGUUUGGUGGAUGAACACAAAUAUCAUGACACUGUAUCAACUGCAGAAGCGAGGACAGAGGAACAGAGACAUUUUGAGGAGAAACAGAGAAACAUCCAGAAGAUAAUCCAGCAGAGAGAGAAAGAUCUUCAGCAGCUGAGAGAGGCUGUGGCGUCUCAUAAGCGCUCUGCACAGACCGCAGUGGAGGACAGUGAGAGGAUCUUCACUGAGCUCAUCCGCUCCAUUGAGAGACGUCGCUCUGAGGUGAUUCAGCUGAUCAGAGAUCAGGAACGAGCUGCAGUGAGUCGAGCUGAAGAACGACUGGAGCGACUGGAGCAGGAGAUCAAUGAUCUGAGGAGGAGAGACGCUGAGAUGAAGCAGCUUUCACAAACACAGGAUCAUGUUCAUUUCCUCCAGAGUUUUUCGUCUUUCUCUCUCUCUGGAUCUACAGACGGUUUCACUGUCAGUUCUCAUCUGUCCUUUGAUGAAGUAGUGAAAUCUGUCUCUCAACUCAGAGACAAACUGCUGCAGUUCUGCAGCGAGGAGACAGAAAAGAUAUCUGGAAGAGUGAAAACCAUCCAGGUCAUUUUGGCCCCUGAAUAUCAGACCAGAGAGGAGUUUCUACAGUAUUCUACUCUACUGACUCUGGACCCAAACUCAGUGAAUAACAGGCUCCGUCUGUCAGGGGGAAACACAGUGAUCACUGUUGCUGACACAAAUCAGCGCUAUCCUGAUCAUCCAGACAGAUUUGAUUGUUGGGGACAGGUGCUGUGUAGAGAGAGUGUAACUGGACGCUGUUACUGGGAGGUGGAGUGGAGUGGAGAUGGGAGAUCAGGAGUGGGUAUAUCAGUGACAUAUAAGAGCAUCAGGAGGAAAGGAAAUAGUAAUGAGAGUGUAUCCGGGUGUAACGAUCAGUCCUGGAAAUUGUUCUGCUCUCCAGACUAUUGCUCAUUCUGGCACAAUAACAUUGAGACUAAACUCCCUGUAGUGUCCAGCUGUAGAAUAGGAGUGUAUGUGGAUCACAGCGCAGGGAUUUUGUCCUUCUACAGCGUCUCAGACACAAUGAGCCUCAUCCACAGAGUCCAGACCACAUUCACUCAGCCGCUAUAUGCUGUGUUUGGAUUUGAUAUGCACUCAACAGUGAAACUGUGUCGUCUGACCAAUUAAAUUAUAUAGAGAUUCUACUGAUUAUUUUAUCAUAUUCACUACUAUUAUAACUUUUAAGUUAAAUUGUACUGAUUAUUUUGUCAUAUCAAAUUUUGAAUCAGUAUGAGUAAGAUUUCAUGGGUCUUAUUUUAAUAAAUAAAAAACUUCUACACAGUGGAAUGUAUGAUAAUAAAAUAAAGGUAACACUUUUUAGGGUCUUUUAACUAGUCGCUUAUUAGCAUGCAUACUACUAGAAUAUUGUCUGUUUAUUAGUACUUACUUAUUAAACACAUUCAUGUCUUAUUCUGCAAGACCUUAUUCUACAUUCUUAAUCGUACCCAAAACCUAAAUUUAACAACUACCUUACUAUUAUUAAGCAGUAAUUUAGGAGUUUAUUGAGGGAAAAAUCAAUAAUAGUUUAUGUGUUCCCUAUACUACAGUGUUACCAAAAUGAAAUUUAUUAUCAGAUGAAUUUAAUAAUUAGCGUAGUAUAAUGAAUGUUGAGUUUGAUGUAUCUCUUGUUUGACUGUCGACAAAUCUCUCAAUGAGAUAUUUUUAAUAAAUACAGUGGCAAGAAUUGUUUUCUUGUGAAGUUUGUUAACCCCGUGAUUUCUGCAUUGCUCAUCACAUGUGGUUUGAUCUUGAUUUAGUCAAGCACAAUAUGACCAAACUAGAAAAUGUUAUUUUUCACAUUUUUAUUAAAUACUUCAAGUAAUCAUUCACGGUGCAUGGUUGAGAAAGUAUGGGAGCCCUUGAAUUUAGUAUAAAACAAACAAACAAACAAACAAACAAACAAACAAACCUGGGUAUUCCAACAAACACAUUUUUGCCAAUGUAUAUUAAAAAAGCGCCAUCUUCUCCUGCAUGAUCAUAAUACACACAUUUCACACUCAUUUCUUUUUUGCUAACUCAGGUGUUUGUUCAAACGAAAUUGUACUUGAUGAGUAGAUUGUUUUUGAUGCUCAAAUUAAAUGCGUUUUGUUAUUAUUAUAACACGUCCAGUUCUGUUUAUUCUGACCCCUUUUUUAUUACAUGAAAAAUCAAUAUGCAUAUGUGAUUCAUAUUACAUUUAAUGUGGUAAAUAUGAGGUAUCAGCAAGUUAAAAUGGAAGCUCAGAUCAGGUGACUACGGGAAGCAGAAAGUUUCUGACUUCACAGCCUCUUCUCUUGAUUAUACGUCUCUUACUUUAGCUCUCUUCUCACCGAUCAGAAGCGCCUGGAAACGCCACAAAUACCUUCAGAUCGAUGGACGGAUCUUUUAUCCUUAUUCAAAGAGUCAAACAACAACAACAACAAACUGGAUAAACUCUCGCACGGCUGUUUGUGGUGAUUUCCUGCAGAUACAGUGAAAACUGUCCAGGUCAUUCUGGCUCCUGAAUAUCAGACCAGAGAGGAGUUUCUACAAUAUUUCCACCUGUUGACUCUGGAUCCAAACUCAGUGAAUAAUUGGCUUCGUCUGUCUGACGGAAACACAGCAAUCGCUUU
Molecule: RNA transcript, 3213 nt
Organism: Megalobrama amblycephala (Wuchang bream)
Lineage: Eukaryota; Metazoa; Chordata; Actinopteri; Cypriniformes; Xenocyprididae
Gene name: tripartite motif-containing protein 16-like protein
Exons: 8
Source: RefSeq, a predicted model, not a curated record